Long non-coding RNA from Sapajus apella (tufted capuchin), 195 nucleotides. RefSeq lists it as uncharacterized. The transcript has 3 exons. The record is from RefSeq and is a predicted model, not a curated record. Lineage: Eukaryota; Metazoa; Chordata; Mammalia; Primates; Cebidae.
CAAGAAUAGAUGAAAGAGACAGAAAAUUAACAAGAAUAUAAAGGACUUGAUCUCAGCUCUGGACUAAGUGGACUUAAUAGACAUCUACAGAACUCUCUACCCCAAAUCAACAGAAUAUACAUUCUUCUCAGCACCACAUAGCACUUAUUCUAAAAUCGACGACAUAAUUGGAAGUAAAACACUCCUCAGCAAAUG